Molecule: ribosomal RNA, 483 nt
Filed under: uncultured bacterium
Lineage: Bacteria
Description: partial 16S ribosomal RNA
Rfam family: Bacterial small subunit ribosomal RNA
Source: RNAcentral
AUUGAACGCUGGCGGAAUGCUUUACACAUGCAAGUCGAGCGGCAGCGCGGCCUUCGGGCUGGCGGCGAGCGGCGAACGGGUGAGUAAUGCAUCGGAACAUGCCCAGUCGUGGGGGAUAACACUUCGAAAGAAGUGCUAAUACCGCAUACGUCCUGAGGGGGAAAGCGGGGGAUCGCAAGACCUCGCGCGAUUGGAGUGGCCGAUGUCAGAUUAGCUAGUUGGUGGGGUAAAGGCCUACCAAGGCGACGAUCUGUAGCUGGUCUGAGAGGAUGAUCAGCCACACUGGGACUGAGACACGGCCCAGACCCCUACGGGAGGCAGCAGUGGGGAAUUUUGGACAAUGGGGGCAACCCUGAUCCAGCCAUUCCGCGUGAGUGAAGAAGGCCUUCGGGUGGUAAAGCCCUUUCGGCAGGAACGAAACGGUGGGCUAUAACAGAGUCCGCUAAUGACGGUACCGGAAGAAGAAGCACCGGCUAACUACGU